This 1066-nucleotide ribosomal RNA is filed under the name Alternaria tenuissima. RNAcentral describes it as "SSU rRNA". It matches the Rfam family "Eukaryotic small subunit ribosomal RNA", at positions 52 to 1129 of the family's 1831-position model. Lineage: Eukaryota; Fungi; Ascomycota; Dothideomycetes; Pleosporales; Pleosporaceae. The record is from RNAcentral.
GGCGGGUCUAAGUAUAAGGCAAUUAUACCGUGAAACUGCGAAUGGCUCAUUAAAUCAGUUAUCGUUUAUUUGAUAAUACCUUACUACUUGGAUAACCGUGGUAAUUCUAGAGCUAAUACAUGCUGAAAAUCCCGACUUCGGAAGGGAUGUGUUUAUUAGAUAAAAAACCAAUGCCCUUCGGGGCUUUUUGGUGAUUCAUGAUAACUUUACGGAUCGCAUAGCCUUGCGCUGGCGACGGUUCAUUCAAAUUUCUGCCCUAUCAACUUUCGAUGGUAAGGUAUUGGCUUACCAUGGUUUCAACGGGUAACGGGGAAUUAGGGUUCGAUUCCGGAGAGGGAGCCUGAGAAACGGCUACCACAUCCAAGGAAGGCAGCAGGCGCGCAAAUUACCCAAUCCCGACACGGGGAGGUAGUGACAAUAAAUACUGAUACAGGGCUCUUUUGGGUCUUGUAAUUGGAAUGAGUACAAUUUAAACCUCUUAACGAGGAACAAUUGGAGGGCAAGUCUGGUGCCAGCAGCCGCGGUAAUUCCAGCUCCAAUAGCGUAUAUUAAAGUUGUUGCAGUUAAAAAGCUCGUAGUUGAAACUUGGGCCUGGCUGGCGGGUCCGCCUCACCGCGUGCACUCGUCCGGCCGGGCCUUCCUUCUGAAGAACCUCAUGCCCUUCACUGGGCGUGCUGGGGAAUCAGGACUUUUACUUUGAAAAAAUUAGAGUGUUCAAAGCAGGCCUUUGCUCGAAUACGUUAGCAUGGAAUAAUAAAAUAGGGCGUGCGUUUCUAUUUUGUUGGUUUCUAGAGACGCCGCAAUGAUUAACAGGAACAGUCGGGGGCAUCAGUAUUCAGUUGUCAGAGGUGAAAUUCUUGGAUUUACUGAAGACUAACUACUGCGAAAGCAUUUGCCAAGGAUGUUUUCAUUAAUCAGUGAACGAAAGUUAGGGGAUCGAAGACGAUCAGAUACCGUCGUAGUCUUAACCGUAAACUAUGCCGACUAGGGAUCGGGCGAUGUUCUUUUUCUGACUCGCUCGGCACCUUACGAGAAAUCAAAGUUUUUGGGUCUGGGGGAUUAUGGC